This is a long non-coding RNA of Myiozetetes cayanensis, 500 nucleotides long. RefSeq lists it as uncharacterized. NCBI's taxonomy places the organism in Eukaryota, Metazoa, Chordata, Aves, Passeriformes, Tyrannidae. The transcript has 4 exons. The record is from RefSeq and is a predicted model, not a curated record.
ACAACACGGGAAGAGGAGGAGGAGGAGGAGGAAGAGAGAGAAAGACAGAACUAAAAACCCUUGAAGGAUGGCUCUCCAAAAUUCCUGGUGGAACCACGGGGAAUCCCUGGGAGCGCAGGAGAGGAGCUACUUUCUGGAUUUAUCCUGAAUGAGAAGGGGAAUUACUGAAUUAAUGCCCAGGAAGGGAGUGUCCUGUGUUACAUGCUGCUGUCCAGAAGUCCUUCAUAAAUGGCUCUGAUCUGGAGAGUUUAUACUGACUUUUUCCAGUCUGAAUAGGAACCAUCUCCUCUGCUCCACUCACUGGCGCCGGAUCCUGCGACAUCUCUGCAUUUCCACAUUGAGGUAGGAUAACUUUGCCCAGGAGGAAAGGAAUUUGGACAGACUUAAUAUCCAGCCUGUGCAGCUUCCAUGAGCUGGACUCUGAAAUGAAGAGAGAGUUUAUUCAUUCCCAUCCCGACACAGCCCACCAGAAUUAAAAGGCAUUUUAACCUGCCAGGGAG